UCUUCUUUGCUUCUGGUACUGAAAAAAAAAACCAGAAUAAUCCUUCUGCUACUCUUCAUGAUAAAAAAUUCAUUACCAUAAUUGCCCAACCAGACCAAAGUCAUGAGCAAGAAAUUCCCCAAACAUGUAGAGUGUCUUCCACAUGGGGACUAAAUAUGUGACUCCGCAAGCCCCAGUACUUGUGUCUUUUAACUAGUACAAAGUGAUGGACAUCUGGAGCAGAACUAGCUCAGUCCUGGAGCUGCCAAGGCAUCAUAUCUGUCCCACACAUUUUUUCAAAUCCAGAGGUCAUUGAGAAAAGAAAAAUAAGACCUGGUAUGUAGUACAGAGAAAUCACCGGACAGAUUUCUUCUGUCUGUGGAAAACUUCCACGAGUGUCAAAGAACCCCCGUAUCUGUGGCUCAUAGUAAGGGCUGAGGUGGUACUUAGGCGCUGUGGGUGUGCCUGUGUUCAGCCUCUGCCUAUUACUAGGUUUAAAAUUAUUAUUUUACUCUUUGAGUAGUGAACAUCAGCUACAUUAUAACCUCUGGUUCUUGAUUGCAGAUAGAGCUGAGAUGCAAUGCCGCCACGCAACAGAAAAAGGUCAAGGAACUGUGUCAUGCCAUACCAUGCCGGGGCACUUGUGUGGCACAGUGAGAAAUGGUGAAUACAGAGGAGCAGCGUGAGAAUACACAAGAGGAUGUGGUCUGCCUCCCCUUGAAGUGACUCCACAUAUCUGCUUGCAGACCAGCUCCUCAGCUUCUAUUGUGCACUACUACAUUGAGUACUGCAAACCACUGUACCAGCCAUCAGAUGCUUGUGCUUCAGCUCCUGCACAGAGAAGAGGCUCUAUUGUCACGCCGUGUAACCAAAGGGCAGGAUGAUGCAGGAGCCACCCCUGCAAACCUCAAGUUGUAGUAACACAAGUGCCUUCUUCAGCAGCAAAGCCAUUUAAAGAACUUUCUACUCCAUGUCAUCACCAUUCUCUUGUGGCUGUGUCACAGUGUAUUUGUCUUUCAGGAGCCUCUGUUACAGCUGCUGGUAUCAGUGAAACAAUCCAAGUUAAAAGUUCUUCUAGCAAACAGCUAGGGAGUUUGCUUGUUUGUUUUACUUCAUUUUGAUUAGGAUUAUUUUACUACCAACUCUACUUUCUCCAUAGCACAACAGGUUUACAACAAGUAAUGCAUUGCUAGAAGUCAGAAACUCCUCUUCUACUGG
Molecule: long non-coding RNA, 1197 nt
Filed under: Chrysolophus pictus (golden pheasant)
Lineage: Eukaryota; Metazoa; Chordata; Aves; Galliformes; Phasianidae
Description: lncRNA (ENSCPIG00010000106.1)
Source: RNAcentral